GAUGAACGCUGGCGGCGUGCCUAAUACAUGCAAGUCGAGCGAACAGACGAGGAGCUUGCUCCUCUGACGUUAGCGGCGGACGGGUGAGUAACACGUGGAUAACCUACCUAUAAGACUGGGAUAACUUCGGGAAACCGGAGCUAAUACCGGAUAAUAUAUUGAACCGCAUGGUUCAAUAGUGAAAGACGGUUUUGCUGUCACUUAUAGAUGGAUCCGCGCCGCAUUAGCUAGUUGGUAAGGUAACGGCUUACCAAGGCAACGAUGCGUAGCCGACCUGAGAGGGUGAUCGGCCACAUUGGAACUGAGACACGGUCCAUACUCCUACGGGAGGCAGCAGUAGGGAAUCUUCCGCAAUGGGCGAAAGCCUGACGGAGCAACGCCGCGUGAGUGAUGAAGGUCUUCGGAUCGUAAUACUCUGUUAUUAGGGAAGAACAAAUGUGUAAGUAACUAUGCACGUCUUGACGGUACCUAAUCAGAAAGCCACGGCUAACUACGUG
This 497-nucleotide ribosomal RNA is filed under the name uncultured bacterium. RNAcentral's name for it is "partial 16S ribosomal RNA". It matches the Rfam family "Bacterial small subunit ribosomal RNA", at positions 28 to 507 of the family's 1533-position model. The record is from RNAcentral.